UGUAUCUGUGCUUGUGUUAACGCUUCCCAUGGUUGUGAAAGGAUCUUGGCUGUCGCUGAGAAAGGUUUGACUCAUCAAGGACUUCAUCUAAUUGACUGACUACAAGGGGGUUGGUCCCUACUCUGAAACCACCACGAUGGUGGUGAUCACCCCUGCCAGUUAUCUUUCCUUGGGAGAGGCAGAUGGAAGAAAUACCAGGCAUGUUUCACCCUUGCUGUGACUCUACCAGCUUUCAGUGGGGUGGCUUUGGUAAGACUUCCCUCUGGGAGCCAGAAAUGUUGGAUUCUAACAAAAAGAUGAAUGUUGGCUGGAGAUAGUGGGUUCUUGUUUCAGGAUAUGGGAUGCCUGAUUCUGCUAGCAGUGGUAGCAUAACUGUGAAGGUACUUUUCUCCCUUUCAUUUCUUCUCAUAGUCUUUUCUACCUGGCCUAUUCAGAGAGCAAGUUUUUCAGAUCAGGAAUUGCUUCUUGCUAUGAUUUUUCCACCAUGCAGAUCACAAUGAGGGUCUUUGUGGUGUCCCUUAGAUGCCAACAGGAAACAAUAAAUAGCACUGAGGCUUUAAGCUAAUCCUGCCAUUUCUUUGCAUGUUGCAUCAAAAAGACAAACAUCAAAUAAGCAGAUAAAUUUUGCUAACCUUUGCAGCCUGCACCAGCUGCACCGUGCACUGGUUCCACGCGUCGUACUUCUUGGCUCCAGACUGGAUCAAAUCCUGUAGUUUAGCUGCUGUGCUGCCUAUGAGCCUGGAAAAUUGAAAAAGCAUAAGGCAUACUGUUUGUGGAUGGAGCAGCCCACAUGCACACGGUUCUCAAUCGGAGUCGUGUGUGCUUGGAUGGCAAACUGGCAUUUCUGACACCUGGAGUCAUCUACACUGAGUGUGAGCGAGCUCAGAUCACACAAAAUCUGAGUACAAACUGGGGAAGCACCCAGACCAUCCUGGUAUUGGAGGAUUUCUGCCUUCUCAGCUUCCAGGGUGGUUUACCAAGGGGUUGGCUGAGCUUUUCCUGUGUCGUGUUUGUAAGGAGAAUUUGCAAAACAAAUAGUAAUACUGGACUGCUCUUACAUUAUGUUUCUCCUUUUCUACACAGGGAUUCAGAUCCUGCUCCCAUUGAUUUUGCAAGAGUGCCUCUGGUUUUACAGUGGUUUCAAUGACAGCAGGGUUGUCUGUUUACCUGGUUUUCAGAGAUGACACCUAUACAGCCCAUAACUGCACAAAAUUCCAAUGAGACCACUCAUGGUACCAUUAUUAUUUGUGUUGAGUGGCUGAAUGUGUAGUUGAAAGGCUACAGACAGAAUGAGAAGCUGUGUGUUUACUGUGGUGCUAAUUGAAAACAAACAUCCCUUUCUCAGGUAUGUGAAAUUUUAACAUUCUGUAUAAAAUUGCUCAGGAUCCAGUUGCCUAAAGGUUUUUCUGGAUGGCAAUUCAGUGAUGUGGUCUGGGAUUUACUUAAACGGUGCCACCAACUCUGUGGACGUAGUUGUUUGGUAGCACGUGGCUUAAGAACUUCUGCUCCAUACUGAACAUCUGACAUGGCUGUUAAUCCUUUGUAGUCUUCCUUUUCUCUUUCAGGAACGGAUGGUGCCACUCCUUGUGUAACUUAUUUUACCUCCCUUGAAAGGAAGGAAGAAGCUGAGCCCUUAACAGAUUUCUGAUGUCUCCCAUCCUCUGUACUGACCUGAGUGCCACGUGUUGAUAGGCCUCAGUGUAAAUAUGUGGACUGAGAAAAUCCGACUUGUUCUUGGCUGGACACUUCCCAGGUUUCACUGCAGCCAGAUAAGUGACAGAUGGUGGAACAGGCUGGCCAGCACUGGCUGCCAUGAAGCACUUAAUCAGGAACCUGGGAAGAGAGCAAAGUCAGAGCAGGGUAUGGUGGUGAUCUGCACACAGCAAAAAGUAAAGUGGGAGCAGCCUUACCGUGUCCCAGUUCAGUCUGGGCGUAGCUUCCAAUGAGCCGGAGCUGGGUGGCAAGAGGAAUCCACUUGGCAAUCUGCUUGUCAGAGCCCAGCACUGAAAUACUUCUCAUGAAGACACGGUGAAGGAGAAACGCAACGUCCCCUGACAGUGCCCUGUGGAGAAGGUAAGAUUAUACUGAGUUCCAGCGGCACCUUGAACUGUGUGAUCCCAGUGGCCUGUGCCAUUCUUGUUUGGCCUUUAAUUCAAGGUGCGUUACUGUCUCGGGAGAGAGGACAGCCCCGGGGCAGGGUGCAGUGUACACAGGGUUGGAGUCGCCCAGCGCUGCCCUUGAGCCGUCACGGGAAGGAGCCCGGGACGCCUCCUCUUCCGUGAGGCCGCGAUGUCCGGGUCUCUAGUGACGGGAGCUGGAGCUCUCCCCCCCCCACGCCCCCGGGGGCUCACCCUGACUACAGACGGGAGAGGAGUUCCCCCUGCUCAUAGUUCAUCGACACGUCUGUGCUUCUGCUUCAGACCUGUUGGGAACUGCUUUCUCAGGGAAGGAACACAUGGAGUUCACUCGUACUAAAGACUUGCUUUAAUGUGAGAAGUUAAACAAAGGUUGGGAAAUCAGAUGUAGUUUUGGGUAACUGUAAUUUUAAGCCUGGAGCUGAGCUUGUUGAACCAAGCCCAGCAGCCAUGAGGAGCAACAACCAAUCAGAGCAGCUGACUGCAAUGCAGUGUGUGUGCUCAUGGGCAGUGGAUAGUGUGUUAGGGAUCAGCCUGGUAGAUUAAAGAUGCUAUGUGGCUCUGUCACACUCCCAGGGUGUCCUGUGGAUGUGCUGUAUUCAGGUCUGUACAGCACAGUGUCGCAUCCCAUGGUGACCUGGGGCUGGGAGUGCUUGGGAGGCACUAGAUCCUUCUGAAGUGCUCCAUGGAAUUUCACUAUUUACUUGCAACCUGAUGUUCAUGCAGGCUUCUAUCUGGGCAGGCUCAGGUGCUGCCUGGGUAGGUCACUGCCAGUCUGUGUUAGUGAGGUCUGAGCUGGAGUGCCACUGGCGCUGCACGCCUGGCAGCGUGUCAUACACCUCAGCUCCACGUGCCCUUGGGUGCCCAGAGAUCUCACAGGUGUGAUGACAACUGGCAAAAUCCGCAAGAGCACCUGGUUGUGGUGCGUUGGAACACACCCUCAUUAUGUUGCUGAUAAUUUCACCUUUUCCCCUAUUUCCAUAAGGCUGGAUCUCACCAGUAUCAUGGCCAAUUCAUAUGGUCUCACAUGAUGCUUUCAUCAACGCAAAACCAUUUGGUCUGUGGCAGUUUUAGAUAAUUUUGGGAAAUGAUCUAAAUAUAGAGAAAUACCUAGGAUAGGCAGAGGCAAGUUCCUGAGCAGGGGUGUUUGGCCAGGGUCAGUCAACAGGUACCAAUAGCUUGAGGAAGAAAACCAGAAUUUGCCAUUUUUGAGGCAGUAAUGAGGAAUAUAUCAAGCAUCAAAAUAUAAGUGUUCCUGGGCAGGAAAUACCAUGGCAGCAAACUAUCUAGGAGCACUUCAGGAGUGAAUGCACAGGAAAGAAAUCUCAGCAUGACUUGGAUAAAGAGCAAAGCUGGUAUUAAAAGCUCUGGCAGUAAGAGAAAUCCAGGCGAUGGAGCAGUUCGAGCAUAGCUAAAAGGCAGGUGUCCUUUAAGAGCAGAAAUGAUUGUUUCUUACUCCCUUGCAUAGAAGAGGAACUGUCACGAUAUGAACAACUGCUUUUGGCAUCCAUGUAUGGAAGGAGGUGUGUGAUCAGUGUAAGUUUUGGGGCAUAGCCCAUCAAAACCUCACUGCUUGGUGCUGGAAGAGGUUGAUAAAGCAUUCUACGAAGUGCUGCCCGAGUCCCCUGGUCUCAUGUCACACCAAAGGCCUCAGUCCCCAGAGAAGAUGUGUCCCUUUGGGUGAUUUAUUCCAGGAAAUUAAGUACACAACCUGCCACAGUAGGAUAGUAAGGGAGAUGAUGUUAUAAGCAGCAAAAAGGUGGGAAGAUGUUUUGGAAAUCUGACCUGAAGAACAAGUUUAGUGAAUGAGCCCUCACCCCCAGUGAUGAGCUGACUGGCCACACCAGUGCCACAGGGUGUGGAGGGUUGGAACAAAAUGUACCUCCCAGUGUGGCAACUCCAGUAAAUACCUGGUGUCAGAGAAAUGCAUCCAAGCACCAUCUCUGCCAUGUUCUGAGUGGGAUGUUGGCAUCUGUGCCAAUAUCAGUAAUGAGACGAGUCCUUUUCAUUUGCUUUGCUGCAUUCAGUUUUACCCUGGCUCUCAGGGACCAUGGUGUGUGUGACCUGUACGUGUGAAGCACCCUCUCUCUUUCUUAUAUGUUUAAUCUGUGGUCUUUGGUUGCUGCUAAAGAACUUAAAAAAAAUGUUUAAAAAUAAUGAAGAAAGCUCACUAGUGUGAGGAUUACCUGUAAGUUCAAACCUGAGUUUUUAAAUUAAAUCCGAGGACAUGUUUCCUUGGCUUUGUGAGUCUUGCCCUGCCAGGCAAGUGGGCAUCCAUGUCCAGUGGGAAAUCAAACAGUAUGGGAAGUUUCAGAGCACAAGGCCUGAUGCCACAAUUUUUGGGCCCUUAAACUUUCAUCAAAUUGAGAUGAAGUCUGGGGAUAAGCACUGGAUUCAGUGUUGGGUGCAGAUGACAAAAAGGGCUGAUUGAUGAGCAAGUUCACACAGCACUAACAAAGGAAUUGGUGUCAGACUUCACUGGU
Myiozetetes cayanensis is the source of this 4618-nucleotide long non-coding RNA. RefSeq lists it as uncharacterized. The record is from RefSeq and is a predicted model, not a curated record. Lineage: Eukaryota; Metazoa; Chordata; Aves; Passeriformes; Tyrannidae. The transcript has 6 exons.